Long non-coding RNA from Manis pentadactyla (Chinese pangolin), 2265 nucleotides. RefSeq lists it as uncharacterized. The record is from RefSeq and is a predicted model, not a curated record. NCBI's taxonomy places the organism in Eukaryota, Metazoa, Chordata, Mammalia, Pholidota, Manidae. The transcript has 5 exons.
GGCAGGGGUGUGGCUGGAUGGUUGUGUAGGCUGAGGUGAUGGCCAAUCGUACAGCCGAUGGAAGCCAGGUGCCCGUUGACAGAGCCUGAUGCAAAGGCCUCUUCCUGGGAAAGCAAUUUGGGGAAGUAGUUUAGGGUCAGGUGAGGAUGCUGGCUGCAGGAACUUCCAUUUUCCCCACAUCACCCCAAGCAGGCACCCCUUUCUCUCCCGUGCUAUGACAGGGGGGCGCUUGCCAGGCUCUGAUGAGGGGGCACAGACCGAGGCCCCAGUGUGAGGAGCAGAUGGCCCAGGAGGAGCAGGGGGUGCAUGGCUCCCACUUGACCAACCACUUGGUGACUGAAGCAGUGGGUCUCUUCUCAGCCUGCAUUUUCUGCAAUGUGAACUUGGGGUGAGUCCUGUGACCCUACAGGCCUCCUGCCUCUUGGGGCGUCAGAGGAGGCCAUGCCUGAGAAAUGGCUGAAAUACCAUUAAUUAUGGGCUUUGUAUGUAAACCUCAAAGUCUCAAGAGCUUCAGAUGAGCUGAAAUAGCUGCAGAGUCCUGGUAGGAGCCCAUAGGGACCAGGGCUGGUCUCUGGAGCAGCCAGCAGGGAGGCCGGCCGCCUUCAGGGCUGGGCCGGGCCCCGAGCCCCCCUGGAGAUGAGGGAGCAGCCGGGAGGAGCUUCCAGCGUCGGCGUGGUGGCUCGGAGUCCACUUUCAGCAGAAGAGAAAAUUCUCCCCACACGUGACCUCUCGGCUGCAAGGGUGUAAGCAAAACAAACGUAACCUUUGCACGAGAACUUGGCUGACGGGAGGUAGUGGCGCGGGCGCCUGUGCCCUCCCGGCCUGGCUGCCGGGCAGCACGCGGGAGCGGGGCAGGCUGGGAGGGUGCUCCCCCGUGAGCUGGGGCUGCAGGGGCAGAACGGUCCGGGCGAGGCUGAUCCCAGGCCUCGGGGCACACUGGUGGGGAGAGCAGGAAAAACAACAGCGGGGGGCUGGGCAGGCCCCCCAAGAUGGGUUGUUACUUGACGAUGAACUUGCAAGACCUUGUGAAGUGUACAUAGGUAGCCAGGAGACCUUCUGAGGAUUUCAAGUAAAAGGCACUUCCUUCAAUGUAAGCUGAAUUUUAAACACCAAAGAAUGAAUUCAGUCAGAGAUGUCAGCCAUGUGCUGCCCCCUGGAGACAACUGGAACCUGCUGGGUGACCGGGAUUCUGGGGGUGGGGUGAACAGAAAAGCACCCUGAGGAGUCACUGGGCGUCUGAGGCCAUUUUCUUGAACUGUGAAGGCCUGUGUUCCCAAAGCUGGUUUUGGAAGUUGAAGUAAAAACCAUCCACGGCUGUUAGAAGUCAUGAUUCAGGGACUGGCAGGCACCGCCAUCUUUUUGCAUCGUUUGAUAAACAGGGAAGCAGAUCGCUGGUUUGCAGGUCUGACAUGCCCGUGCUUGAGAGCCCAGAGACCCAGUGUCCUCACAGCUGACCCCUCCUGGACGGACACAGCCACCAGGAGGACUGGACGGCCCUCCACACGCAGAAACAGACCUGCCGCGGUGCCCCCGAUCGUGCAGCACAGGAGAUCCUUCAAGACGGAAAGACUGACUGCUCUACAGAGACUGUGUCUCCGGUCACGAGUGGCGGCGACCUGGUGCUCAAAGAAUGGAGGGAGGUAGGAAGUGUCAAAGUCUUCAGGAGACUCAAAUAUUGCUGAUACAUAGAUAAUCACCUACACAGAUGUAUCUCCUGGUUCCGUCCACCGCGAGGGCCCAGAGCAGUGACACCCAGUAGCGGAAGGAGCCAGGGACGUCCACUGCCACGUGCCCUCUGAUACGAAACACUGAUGAGAACACAGCAUCACGUCUGCGGUGUUUGUGUCCUGAGCUGAGUAAUGAAGCAUCAGACAAACCCAAAAUGAGGGACAUUUUACAAAACAACUGGCCUGUACUCUUCAGGAACCCAAUUUCAUUAAAGACAAAGAAAAGUCUGAAAAACGGUUCCAAGUUAAAGGAAGCCAAUGAGGCACAGCUCAAAGCACUGCUGUGACAAUAAUGCCACUGUGAGGCACAUCACUGGGGUACAGGCGGCAUCUGAUGAACUCCACAGGUUACACCAGGGGCUGGCAAACCAGCCUGUGUACCCAAACCACCUGCGGCCUGUUUUAUAAAUAAAGUUUUAUUGGAACGUAACCACGCCCACUUAUUUGUGUUGUCCAUGACUGCUUUCACGCUGCAUCAGCAGAACUGAGUAGUUGUGGCAGGGACAUAUGUAUGUACUUGUGUCAGUAAUAAAUAAUA